RNAcentral lists this ribosomal RNA (737 nucleotides) under bacterium enrichment culture clone 128. RNAcentral describes it as "bacterial SSU rRNA". It matches the Rfam family "Bacterial small subunit ribosomal RNA", at positions 8 to 740 of the family's 1533-position model. The record is from RNAcentral.
AGAGUUUGAUCCUGGCUCAGAUUGAACGCUGGCGGCAGGCCUAACACAUGCAAGUCGAGCGGAUGAGUGGAGCUUGCUCCAUGAUUCAGCGGCGGACGGGUGAGUAAUGCCUAGGAAUCUGCCUGGUAGUGGGGGACAACGUUUCGAAAGGAACGCUAAUACCGCAUACGUCCUACGGGAGAAAGCAGGGGACCUUCGGGCCUUGCGCUAUCAGAUGAGCCUAGGUCGGAUUAGCUAGUUGGUGAGGUAAAGGCUCACCAAGGCGACGAUCCGUAACUGGUCUGAGAGGAUGAUCAGUCACACUGGAACUGAGACACGGUCCAGACUCCUACGGGAGGCAGCAGUGGGGAAUAUUGGACAAUGGGCGAAAGCCUGAUCCAGCCAUGCCGCGUGUGUGAAGAAGGUCUUCGGAUUGUAAAGCACUUUAAGUUGGGAGGAAGGGCAGUAAGUUAAUACCUUGCUGUUUUGACGUUACCGGCAGAAUAAGCACCGGCUAACUUCGUGCCAGCAGCCGCGGUAAUACGAAGGGUGCAAGCGUUAAUCGGAAUUACUGGGCGUAAAGCGCGCGUAGGUGGUUCGUUAAGUUGGAUGUGAAAGCCCCGGGCUCAACCUGGGAACUGCAUCCAAAACUGGCGAGCUAGAGUAUGGCAGAGGGUGGUGGAAUUUCCUGUGUAGCGGUGGAAUGCGUAGAUAUAGGAAGGAACACCAGUGGCGAAGGCGACCACCUGGGCUAAUAC